AUUGAACGCUGGCGGCAGGCCUAACACAUGCAAGUCGCGCGGAUGAAGGGAGCUUGCUCCUGGAUUCAGCGGCGGACGGGUGAGUAAUGCCUAGGAAUCUGCCUGGUAGUGGGGGAUAACGUCCGGAAACGGGCGCUAAUACCGCAUACGGCCUGAGGGAGAAAGUGGGGGAUCUUCGGACCUCACGCUAUCAGAUGAGCCUAGGUCGGAUUAGCUAGUUGGUGGGGUAAAGGCCUACCAAGGCGACGAUCCGUAACUGGUCUGAGAGGAUGAUCAGUCACACUGGAACUGAGACACGGUCCAGACUCCUACGGGAGGCAGCAGUGGGGAAUAUUGGACCAUGGGCGAAAGCCUGAUCCAGCCAUGCCGCGUGUGUGAAGAAGGUCUUCGGAUUGUAAAGCACUUUAAGUUGGGAGGAAGGGCAGUAAGUUAAUACCUUGCUGUUUUGACGUUACCAACAGAAUAAGCACCGGCUAACUUCGUG
Molecule: ribosomal RNA, 484 nt
Filed under: uncultured bacterium
Lineage: Bacteria
Description: partial 16S ribosomal RNA
Rfam family: Bacterial small subunit ribosomal RNA
Source: RNAcentral